This 227-nucleotide ribosomal RNA is filed under the name uncultured bacterium. RNAcentral describes it as "partial 16S ribosomal RNA". It matches the Rfam family "Bacterial small subunit ribosomal RNA", at positions 107 to 334 of the family's 1533-position model. The record is from RNAcentral.
UGAGUAACACGUAUCCAACCUGCCGUCUACUCUUGGACAGCCUUCUGAAAGGAAGAUUAAUACAAGAUGGCAUCAUGAGUCCACAUGUUCACAUGAUUAAAGGUAUUCCGGUAGACGAUGGGGAUGCGUUCCAUUAGAUAGUAGGCGGGGUAACGGCCCACCUAGUCUUCGAUGGAUAGGGGUUCUGAGAGGAAGGUCCCCCACAUUGGAACUGAGACACGGUCCAA